UAGAGUUUGAUCAUGGCUCAGGAUGAACGCUGGCUGUAUGCCUAACACAUGCAAGUCGUACGAGAGUUUUUAACUCUAGUGGCGGACGGGUGAGUAACACGUGAGAAUUUGCCUUUAGGAGGGGGACAACAAUUGGAAACGAAUGCUAAUACCCCAUAUGCUUUCGAGUGAAAUGGAUUUAUAUUUAUCCGCCUAGAGAGAAGCUCGCGGCUGAUUAGCUUGUUGGUAAGGUAAGAGCUUACCAAGGCGACGAUCAGUAUCUGGUUUGAGAGGACGAUCAGACACACUGGAACUGAGACACGGUCCAGACUCCUACGGGAGGCAGCAGUGGGGAAUUUUCCGCAAUGGGCGAAAGCCUGACGGAGCAAUACAGCGUGAGGGAAGACUGCCUAUGGGUUGUAAACCUCUUUUUUCAGGGAGGAAUAAAUGACGUGUACCUGAAGAAUAAGCAUCGGCUAACUCCGUGCCAGCAGCCGCGGUAAGACGGAGGAUGCAAGUGUUAUCCGGAAUCACUGGGCGUAAAGCGUCUGUAGGUGGUUUAAUAAGUCAACUGUUAAAUCUUGAGGCUCAACUUCAAAAUCGCAGUCGAAACUAUUAGACUAGAGUAUA
This 609-nucleotide ribosomal RNA is filed under the name uncultured bacterium. RNAcentral's name for it is "bacterial SSU rRNA". It matches the Rfam family "Bacterial small subunit ribosomal RNA", at positions 1 to 650 of the family's 1533-position model. The record is from RNAcentral.